AUGGAGGGUGGGCUUUCGGUUCAAUAUAUUGCACAGUUCUGUACGGUUUGGGAGAAGCUCAGCCAGGUUGAACUUUGGGAUGACCUGGCCUAUGACAUCAAGUGGAACCUCACGACCAAUGGCACAUACUCGUCCGCCUCGCAAUUCGAAGUGCUAUGGGGAAAAUGCACCCCCCCCCCCCAACAAGUUUUUCGCGUGGCUCGUCAACAAGAACAUGAUUUGGACGGUCUACAGCGGCGAGGGUGGCCGAAUUGCAAUGUAUGCCAACUCUGCAAAAGGGAGCCGGAGACGACGACACACAUUAUGUUCUAGUAUAGGUUCUUCAUGCGCAUUUGGAAUGCGGUGAGAUGUUGGCUUGACAUGCCGGAGCUCGACAUUGCUGACUGGCCUGGAAUCUCUUUGGUCCAUGAGUGGUGGACUAGAACGAUCCUUGGUCGCGAACACCAGAGGAAGGCGGUCUCUUGGCUUAUAAUGCUAGUCUCUUGGUAGGUUUGAAAAGAGAGAAACGCAAGGGUAUUUCAGAAGAAAUCCUCAAUGCCACCACGGUGCUAG
RNAcentral lists this ribosomal RNA (552 nucleotides) under Triticum aestivum (bread wheat). RNAcentral's name for it is "partial small subunit ribosomal RNA". Lineage: Eukaryota; Viridiplantae; Streptophyta; Magnoliopsida; Poales; Poaceae. The record is from RNAcentral.